This 210-nucleotide ribosomal RNA is filed under the name Triticum aestivum (bread wheat). RNAcentral describes it as "partial small subunit ribosomal RNA". Lineage: Eukaryota; Viridiplantae; Streptophyta; Magnoliopsida; Poales; Poaceae. The record is from RNAcentral.
AUGGUGGCGGCGUCGAGGCCGUGCUUGGGCUGUGGGGCCUGGGGCUGCCCUUGCAGGGGCUGUGCGCUGUGGCGCCGCGUGCGGCGAAGGUGGAGGAAGCGCAGGCAGAGGAAGAUGACGACGAGGAAGAAGCAGCAGGCGAAGGAUGCCGCCAACGCGCUGAGCAGCGUCGUUGUGCUGCAGCACGGGGCCACGGCCUCUCCGGGCUGA